AUUAAUUUAAGAAUAACUAAAAUCUGUUUUAAAGUUGUAUGCUGCUUUAUGAUUUAUAUAUUCCUUAAUUUAUAUACAUCUAGAAAAUAUCUUUGAUUGGAAUGUUAAGCAGUUGUUUCUUUAUUUAUCAGCCGAAUAUUCAACAAAAAAUAAUCUGAGUUACCCUUAUGUUUUGUUACCAGCAUAGCCUGAGGUAAUUCGUAGUUAAGAGGUGAGUCUACUUCUGUAUUGUAUUUGAACUGUAUAUUCAUUUUCCAGGGAUGACAAAUUAAUCAGCUUUAUUUGUUGAUGGGUUUGAUUAGUUGACUGGAAUCAUUAGCCCUUCAAUUCUUUGUAUAUUUAUUUUGAGCCUAUCUUUUAUGGAGGGUACUUUGUUGGGCAGUAAGAAUAUUGGGUUGAAUAAGUUUUGAUCCCUGCCCUUGAGAAUCAACAAAGCGUUAAACAGAAAAAGCUGCUCUGAAGAUAAGAGUGACAGCUGUAAGCACAAGUAUUCUGCAAGUCUCAGCACAUGAUCCAAAUAAAUAUGUCACCUUCUUGGUGAUGGAUAUACCUGAGUCAGAUUCAUAACUCCGAUUUACUCCAGCAUGGCUAGUAAGUUAAUACAGUUUGGAAUUGGACAGAUCACUGCUUUGGUGAAUGAAUAAAUAUACAUUAAAAAGUCAUUUUACUUUGGCAUAUCUUUGAUUCUGUGUUCUUCAGUCUUGAUGUUUCUGUUUAAUGUUGGAGGGUUGAAGGUGAAGAUUUGCACCCCUCUUUAGAAAUUGACUGUUCCACAUUUCUUUUCAGUUAAUGCUGAGCAGUUGGCCUCACAAGCUAAUGGAUGGUAGCUUCCUAAGAACACAUGUCUUGGCGUUUAGAAGUGGUUACAAAUGUGCUUUUUCUCCAUUUCGUAAUUCUAAUUUUCCAAGCGAAACUUGUUUAUGAUAUGUCAAAGCAGUGGCUUAAAAGAAUUGUCUGACUUCUAGGAUUUUGCCAUAGUAAAACAAUAAUGUGCCUAUGUUUUCUUAAUUUAAAGGAAAAAAAAACCUAAAAAGGCUUCAUUUCUUUAGUGAUUCCUUGAUAAUUUAAAAACCUUGGAGAUACAUAAAUUUUCAUGAGAUAGUCUAGCAGCAGUGACCUGUGUUAGCAGUGUGAUCUACAGGGAUUAGUUCUCUCUGUUUCCCUGGCAUCAUGCAGCGUCCACAGAAUUGGAGGGUCUCAGAAAUUUUACAGGGAAAAGUGAUUUAAAAGAAUGCUUCCCUUCUAGGGAUUCUAGUGCCUUCUGUUUCUCCUAGGGCCUCACUCUGGAGAGCACAUAAGUCUAGAACCUUGCAUUAAACUUUGAGGGCUCUAAAUAAUACAGUUGCCUUGGCGAAAGGGGUGAUUUCCUUUAGGGAAGUAUCUUUCUUUUGUCCAGGAGAAGUUGCACUCCUGUAUCUAUCCACUUGUUACCAUUUUGUCUGCUUUAAGAUUUUAGCAGUUCCCUCAAAGUUGGAUUCAUUCAUGUAAAUUAAACUCUUCCCUUAACAUACUUUUGAAGUGACAGAGAUGCUGUAUCUGUUGCAUUAUCUAAUUAAUUUUUAUUUUAACGUAGGCUCUGAACCAGGUUGUCCUGUGGGACAAGAUUGUUCUGAGAGGUGAUAAUCCAAAGCUGCUGUUGAAAGAUAUGAAAACAAAGUAUUUUUUCUUUGACGAUGGAAAUGGUCUCAAGGGAAACAGGAAUGUCACUUUAACCCUAUCUUGGAACGUUGUACCAAAUGCUGGAAUUCUACCUCUUGUGACAGGAUCAGGACAUGUAUCUGUCCCAUUUCCAGAUACAUAUGAAAUAACGAAGAGUUAUUAAAUUAUUCUGAAUUUGAAACAGCAUAUUUUUAUACCUAAUGGAUUGUAUCUUGUUUAUCUCUUGCCUUGCAUCUUUAUUUGUUUUGGGUUGUUACCUUUUUUUUUUUUUUGGUGUAAGAAUGAACAUCAAAAGGCAUAUUUGAAGGGAAAGGUUAGUGUACUACUUAAUUUUCCAAACAAAAACAAACAAAGGCCAUCAGAAUGGAGUAUUAUAAGAGUAAGACAGCCACAUGAGAAGGAUUUGUGAAAUAUUUAUAUUUGAAGUAUUCCCUGUAUUUCCAUUAUUCUUUAUGGAAUAUGAAGUGAGCAUGGAGGGUAGUUAAAACUUUCAGGUGCCUGUGGAGUUAUGAGAACUCUAUUUAUGCCUUGCAUUUAUGCAAGUUCACAUUGGAUGUGAUUUAGAAGCAGACAUUCUCUAUUAUCUCUUUUAGGAUAUGUCUGAAUACUGGAAAAAUUAAUAUAAUUGUUGGUGAGAAGCCUGGUUUACAAAAUAGCAAAAAGUGAUGAAUUUUAUUCCAUUUGUCUUAGGAAUGCCCACAAUGCUUGUUUUUCUGACAGGUGACUAGCAACUUUCUCCACUAAAGACUAAAUACCUCUUUAUAUGCUGUAAAUCAUUCUAAAUCAUUUUAAAGUCUCUUAAGUCAACCAAAUGUGUGUCUUUCAGUGCUUUCUCUAAACAAGUUCCUUGGUAUUAUAUCUUUAUGUGAUUUUUUUUUUUAUUUUAACAUUGCCAUUGAACGUUGAAAAUGUUUGCAUGGUUUAUCUAGUGAGCAUGCCUAGUGCCACUGAGUGGUAAUUAUUUAAUUUUUUUUCUAGGUCCACAUUUGAAUAAUUAUUGGGGUAAUAAUAAUCAGUAUUUGUCGGUGUGCGUUUCCGUUUACAAGCACUCUCAUAUAUUUUACUGUAUGGGCUCCUCAAUAAUCUAAUGAGGUAAGUAGUGCAGAUGUUAGCUCUUUGCAGAUAAAGAAACAGACCCAGAAGUUUGUGGAAUUGCUUCAGGGUUAUUACAUAGCUAGCAAGGAAGGGUGUUAACCCGUGAACCCCAGAUCUGAUUCUUUAAGCAUAUCCUUUCUUCUAUACCUCUGAUUACAGACUAGUCAAAAUUCACUUAUAUAAUUUUUAUUAUAUUUUUUGUUACCCUGGACGCCCUUUCUAUUACCUAGAAGAGAUUUCCUAUCCUGUAUGGAAAUGACCAAUUUUCAAGUUGCCAACAAUUUAUAUAGAGGUAAUAUCUCACUCAUUCUCUGCAUAAAUUAAUUAUACUCAUGUUAAAAGUAUAAGAAUCCAAAUGUAUGUAAAAAUUAUUUAGAGAUUGAUUAUAUGAUCAUAUUUAACAUGAUUUGUUUCUACAGUGGGCAAAUAAGCAUCCUCAAAGGAAGCAGCUACAAAUCAGUCACCCUUAAAAGCAAGACCAAACACUGUAGGUAUACUAUCAGCAGUAACCAAAAAGGGCUAAUAUUUUCUAAGAAUAGCUUACAUUAGUGGCUUAACAUUUGUUAUACGUAUUUCAUAUGAAAUACAUCUCCGUUUAAUUGCAUUGGUUGGAACAGCUCUUGCCUGUAAGGGUAUGUGUUCUGUGAAGGUCAGUUGAAGGUCAGAAGAACAGUAUCAGGAAUGCUAGACUGGGUUUGGCUCCCAGCUUUUUCAUUAAAGUUUUCAGGGUCUCCGUUUCUUUAUCUGUAAAAUGACAGAGUUGGACUAGUUACCUUAAAUAGUAGUUCUUUUAUACCACACACGUCUGUAAAAUUUGUUGUAUCCGUUUGGCAGAGAGAUUGAACAGAAAAGCUCCUCAGUAAUGUGACGGCAGCAAGAUGAUUGAAAGACAAGUCAACACAUAAUUCAUAUUGAUCUGACUUUAUUUCUGUUAGAUUUUACACCCAGAAGAUUUAACUUCUUGUAUAGUUUGUACAAACUUAAAAUCUGUCGGCGUCAAAGCUUAAAAGUUGGGUGUGUUCUCCUUGAGGCGGGUGCACGUAAGAAGCCUGCAGCCUUAGCGAGACCCGGGGCUGGUUUGGGUGUUCAUGGGCCUCUGCAUGCGUGGAUCUGUGUUUGCUGGGGAUGAAUGUGGAAAUUGACUCCAGUUACUGUUGAGUCCAAGCCCACCCACUUUCUGGAGUUCAGUGGGAAAGAGGAGUAGAAAGGCCCCCGAGCACAGUGGGCGCGUUUGCUUUUACUCACGAGCGAAGGGAAACUGCUCGGGACGAGAGUGCCCCAACACGGGCGUGAGAAGCCCCCCUCCCAGGAGCUCACUUCUGGGUACGCACAGCUCUGUAAGUUCACUGUAAUUCUGCACGAAGAAGAUGGACCUGUGUUCAGUUGAUAAGCAUACCAUCGACCUCAGCGUCACUGUUUUCAAGAAGUCUUAGAAAGUCUCCACAAAGACCCAAGGCUUCACACUUUUAAUUAGAAACCUCUGAGCCCAGGGAUGAUCCUGGGAAGAGAAUAAUUGCAAGACACUCAUCUAAAGUAAUUAUGUUUAGAAAUGAGUUAAUUUUAAGAUGUUGUGCUUACAUGCUCCUUUUCUCUAGCAGUUUAACCUAGACAAGCAGCUAUAUCAGUGAUUCUGUUCCCCCAGUUGAUUACAUUUGGUUCCUUUAUGCUUAAAGGAAGAUAACAGAAAACUUCAGAAAUUCCUUAGGGUGUAAUAGGAAAAGGGGGUUAUUUUGAGCUUCUGUUUUUGGAAUUAUUUUACAGAUCUUUGGUGGGUCUGGCAACUAAGAGAUAGGCUUGAAGGCCACAAGGAACGUUUGUUCACUAUUCUAUCUAAAGCUUAAUGGUCUAAAGCUUUGGGUUUUUGGGGGUAUAGGUUAAUGGAGGUGUUAUUUUAUAAUGCUUUGAAUUGACCUGAAAUGAGUUUAUGGGGGGGGGGGGGAAACCAUAAGCUGUGAAUUUUGGUAGUAAACAUCUGUCCAUUUCAGACGCUUCCCUUGCUUUUAGCAGACAGCCUGUGUACCUUUUACGUGACUGCCAGUGGUUUAAAGAGAUCUGUUUCAAAAAGUGGUUGCAUGUUUUGAUGCAAUUUGGGAAACUGUUUACUUUACAAAUACAGAUUCAUAAGAAAAAAAUUCAUGAAAAUACUGAAGAUAUGUUUGAGGAUUUUCUUAAUUGCAAUAAAUAUUCAGCAUUUUUCUAAUGAAAGUGAAUUUUGUUUAUGAGUACAAGUAUUCAUUUUAAAAGACUUUCAGAUCGAUGCUUUUUUUAAUGUGAAGCUGCCGCACUAAGAGAAAAUGGCUGAAACCAAGUCUAGUAAACUUGAGGUUUUUCUCUUUUUUCCUUUCUUUUUUCCCCCCUCCCACCCCCUCUUUUUUUUUUUUUGGUGGGUGGGUCAGGGGAGGUCAGUCACACCUAAAAGAUCUUCUCCAGAGACUGCGCUCCUAUACUAGACUGUAAGCUCUCUGAGGGCAGUCUUGUGGGUUUAUCUUUGUAUCUUGCCCAGCGCCUAGCAGAGUGCUUUGCACAUAGGCGCCCAAUAAACACUGAUGGUGAACGAA
Molecule: RNA transcript, 5312 nt
Organism: Balaenoptera acutorostrata (minke whale)
Lineage: Eukaryota; Metazoa; Chordata; Mammalia; Artiodactyla; Balaenopteridae
Gene: SPCS3
Gene name: signal peptidase complex subunit 3
Exons: 3
Source: RefSeq, a predicted model, not a curated record